RNAcentral lists this ribosomal RNA (477 nucleotides) under uncultured bacterium. Its description in RNAcentral is "bacterial SSU rRNA". It matches the Rfam family "Bacterial small subunit ribosomal RNA", at positions 28 to 524 of the family's 1533-position model. The record is from RNAcentral.
GACGAACGCUGGCGGCGUGCCUAACACAUGCAAGUCGAACGAGGUCCAUCCUUCGGGAGAAGACCUAGUGGCGAACGGGUGAGUAACACGUGAAGAACCUGCCCCGAAGACCGGGAUAACCCUCCGAAAGGAGAGCUAAUACCGGAUACCCCACCGAACCGCAUGGUUUGGUGAGGAAAUGGAUUCCGCUUCGGGAGGGCUUCGCGGCCUAUCAGCUAGUUGGUGGGGUAACGGCCACCAAGGCAUCGACGGGUAGCUGGUCUGAGAGGACGAUCAGCCACACUGGGACUGAGACACGGCCCAGACUCCUACGGGAGGCAGCAGUGGGGAAUCUUGCGCAAUGGGCGAAAGCCUGACGCAGCAACGCCGCGUGGGGGAUGAAGGCUCUCGGGUUGUAAACCCCUUUCAGCAGGGACGAAUCAAGACGGUACCUGCAGAAGAAGCCCCGGCUAACUACGUGCCAGCAGCCGCGGUAAU